Molecule: unclassified non-coding RNA, 292 nt
Filed under: uncultured fungus
Lineage: Eukaryota; Fungi
Description: sequence contains ITS1
Source: RNAcentral
GGACUACUGGGGUUUCUAAUCCUGUUUGCUACCCAUGCUUUCGUUCCUCAGCGUCAGUAUCGAUCCAGAGUGGCGCCUUCGCCACCGGUGUUCCUCCUAAUAUCUGCGCAUUUCACCGCUACACUAGGAAUUCCCCACUCCCCUAUCGAACUCAAGUUAAGCAGUAUCGGGUGGCGUCUCUGGGUUGAGCCCAGAAUUUUCACACCCGACUUACUUGACCGCCUACGAACUCUUUACGCCCAAUAAAUCCGGACAACGCUUGAAGCCUAUGUAUUACCGCGGCGGCUGGCAC